GAAACCGCGAAUGGCUCAUUAAAUCAGUUAUGGUUCCUUAGAUCGUUUCUUCCUACUUGGAUAACUGUGGCAAUUCUAGAGCUAAUACAUGCAGUGAGCCCGAAGCCCCUCGGGGCGACGGGUGCUUUUAUUAGACCAAGAUCAAUCGGGCUUCGGUCCGUUUUGUGUGGUGACUCUGGAUAACUUUGUGCUGAUCGCACGGCCACGAGCCGGCGACGUUUCUUUCAAGUGUCUGCCUUAUCAACUGUCGAUGGUAGGUUAUGCGCCUACCAUGGUUGUUACGGGUAACGGAGAAUCAGGGUUCGAUUCCGGAGAGGGAGCCUGAGAAACGGCUACCACAUCCAAGGAAGGCAGCAGGCGCGCAAAUUACCCACUCCCGGCACGGGGAGGUAGUGACGAAAAAUAACAAUACGGGACUCUUUUGAGGCCCCGUAAUUGAAAUGAGUACACUCUAAAUCCUUUAACGAGGAUCCAUUGGAGGGCAAGUCUGGUGCCAGCAGCCGCGGUAAUUCCAGCUCCAAUAGCGUAUACUAAAGUUGCUGCGGUUAAAAAGCUCGUAGUUGGAUCUCAGUUGCAGGCGGGAAGUGCGUGGACACCACGUUACGGCCCGUGCUGAACAUCAUGCCUGUUGUGGCUUGGUUCCCUUCAUCAGGUGCCUUGACAUGACCGGCGCGUUUACUUUGAAAAAAUUAGAGUGCUCAACGCAGGCGAUUCGCCUGAAUAACAGUGCAUGGAAUAAUAGAACAAGAUCCUGUUUCUGUUCUGUUGGUUUUUGGAAUACAGGAUAAUGAUUAAGAGGGACAGACGGGGGCAUUCGUAUUGCGGCGCUAGAGGUGAAAUUCUUGGACCGUCGCAAGACGAACUACUGCGAAAGCAUUUGCCAAGAAUGUUUUCUUUGAUCAAGAACGAAAGUUAGAGGUUCGAAGGCGAUCAGAUACCGCCCUAGUUCUAACCAUAAACGAUGCCAACCAGCGAUCCGCCUGAGUUACUCAAAUGACUCGGCGGGCAGCUUCCGGGAAACCAAAGUAUUUGGUCCG
Molecule: ribosomal RNA, 1037 nt
Filed under: Ixodes rugicollis
Lineage: Eukaryota; Metazoa; Arthropoda; Arachnida; Ixodida; Ixodidae
Description: SSU rRNA
Rfam family: Eukaryotic small subunit ribosomal RNA
Source: RNAcentral